AACGAACGUUGGCGGCGUGGAUGAGGCAUGCAAGUCGAACGUGAAAGCCGCAAGGUGAGUAGCGUGGCGGACGGGCGAGUAACACGUAACCAAGCUGCCUGCGAGACGGGGAUAACCUCGGGAAACCGAGGCUAAGACCCGAUGGUCUGCCGGGGACGCAUGUUCCUGGUAGUAAAUGGGCGGGAUCCUUUGGGAUCGCCUGCUCGCAGAGGUGGUUGCGGCCCAUCAGCUAGUUGGUAGGGUAAUGGCCUACCAAGGCAACGACGGGUAGCCGGCCUUAGAGGGUGGUCGGCCGCACUGGGACUGAGACACUGCCCAGACUCCUACGGGAGGCUGCAGUCGAGAAUCUUCCGCAAUGGGCGAAAGCCUGACGGAGCGACGCCGCGUGGAGGACGAAGGCCUCGGUUGUAAACUACCUGUCACGAGUUAAGAAGGAAUCUGCCACGAACAGUGGUAGGUUUUGUACGUAAGCUCGAGAGGAAGCACUGGCUAACUC
Molecule: ribosomal RNA, 496 nt
Filed under: uncultured bacterium
Lineage: Bacteria
Description: bacterial SSU rRNA
Rfam family: Bacterial small subunit ribosomal RNA
Source: RNAcentral